This 500-nucleotide ribosomal RNA is filed under the name Melanotrichus choii. RNAcentral's name for it is "partial large subunit ribosomal RNA". It matches the Rfam family "Eukaryotic large subunit ribosomal RNA", at positions 755 to 1243 of the family's 3401-position model. The record is from RNAcentral. Lineage: Eukaryota; Metazoa; Arthropoda; Insecta; Hemiptera; Miridae.
GCACUCCCGGGGCGUCUCUAUCUCAUUGCGAGAGGAGGCGCACCUAUAGCGUACACGCUGAUACCCGAAAGAUGGUGAACUAUGCCUGGCCAGGACGAAGCCAGGGGAAACCCUGGUGGAGGUCCGCAGCGAUUCUGACGUGCAAAUCGAUCGUCGGAGCUGGGUUUAGGGGCGAAAGACCAAUCGAACCAUCUAGUAGCUGGUUCCCUCUGAAGUUUCCCUCAGGAUAGCUUGCGCUCGGACGGAACGAGUCUCAUCCGGUAGAGCGAAUGAUUAGAGGCCUUGGGGUCGAAACGACCUCAACCUAUUCUCAAACUCCAAAUAGAUGAGAACCCUGGCUUUCUUGAAUUAUGAAGCCAAGGGGUUUCGGAUCAGAGUGCCAAGUGGGCCAAUUUUGGUAAGCAGAACUGGCGCUGUGGGAUGAACCAAACGCGGAGUUAAGGCGCCUCAAUCGACGCUCAUGUGAUACCAUGAAAGGCGUUGGUUGCUUAAGACAGCAG